This 28-nucleotide non-coding RNA is filed under the name Rattus norvegicus (Norway rat). The record is from RNAcentral. Lineage: Eukaryota; Metazoa; Chordata; Mammalia; Rodentia; Muridae.
UGAAGAACCCUGAAGUGCCUGUGAGCUU